This is a long non-coding RNA of Anopheles arabiensis, 1263 nucleotides long. RefSeq lists it as uncharacterized. The transcript is spliced from 2 exons. NCBI's taxonomy places the organism in Eukaryota, Metazoa, Arthropoda, Insecta, Diptera, Culicidae. The record is from RefSeq and is a predicted model, not a curated record.
GGCAAGACCGAAGUCGAUCAAGUGCAGCGUCUUGCGGGUCGUUCCGCGACCCAGCAGGACAUUGUCCGGCUUCAGGUCGCGGUGAACGUACCCCAGCUCGUGGAAUGUUUCCAGCCUGUCGAGCAGUUGCAGCGCUAGCUGCGAAACCGUCUUCAGACCGAAGCGUCCUCCGCACAAGUUCAGUAAGUCCUGCAGUGAUGGCCCCAGGCGCUCCAAAACCAGCACGUCGCGUUUGCGAUACGUACCGGCGUCGAUGAGUCUGGGCCAUCCACGAGCCUUCGGCAGCCGCGCAUAGAUCCGGCGCUCCGUGGCGAGCAGGAGCCGGUCCACCUCUUUGCUGGCCAUUUUCAUCACCACCGGCUGCUUGGAGCGGGCAUGGCUGCCCACCAACACCGUGCCGCAGCCACCAGCAUCGAAUUCGCCUUCAAUCCGAUAGGUGGAGAGAUUCACCACCAUCAAGGACUCCGGCGAACUAGAAUUGGGCGCACGUCCUUCUCUAAUCGACAUGUUCGAUUCUCUUUGGCCACCUGCGAAAUGUAACUGGAAGCAACAGCAGAAUCAAUUUUUCGCAAAAACACUCGAAAAAACCGUUAAAAGUGAGAGCGAACGAAAACACGUCACCUUGCGUUUACUCGUAGUGAGGAUAUAACCUGAUGCAUAAGUGUGGUCUACAUAUAUAGCCUUUGGUUGGGUGAUGUUCACAUGUGUACUACGAUCGAAACAGCAACUUGACAGAUUACGCAUUUUUUUCGGCUGGUAACCAUCUAGUUACCUGUGGUGUGUGGGUUUUGGAAAACGCAUCCAAGUGUUGUUACAUUUCCAGGUCCGAUUUUGGUUCAUUUCGUCGUACCGGUGCCCUGGCCUGGCGUGGCCUGUGCGAGUUCUGUGCAGAUCCUGUGUCGCGUCCUGUGUGCUUCUUUUAUUGGGGUUUUCUUUUUUACGGCUUUUUUGUACGGGUAAAAGUGAUAAGGUUUUCUGGGACAGUGGCGCUCAGCAUCGUUCCCUUCAUCCUUCCGUGGAGAUGAAAAGCCAGACCAACAGCCAGCAGCUGUAUCACACCCGCCACCGUGCGUCUCCAUGAGAAUGCGUCAAAGUGGUGGACGCUUUUAUCUCCGAAACAGGAUCAACAUCAAAGCAUCAACCGGCGGCAGAAUUUAAAAAAGAACUUACAUAUUACCCAGGCUGGAUGGACGCAAGCCUUUAAAGUAUGAAUGCAAAAGUAUUGAAAACCUCGCCCGGAUUGGAACUUUAGAGAACUAAAAA